GAUGAACGCUGGCGGCGUGCCUAAUACAUGCAAGUCGAGCGAACAGACGAGGAGCUUGCUCCUCUGACGUUAGCGGCGGACGGGUGAGUAACACGUGGAUAACCUACCUAUAAGACUGGGAUAACUUCGGGAAACCGGAGCUAAUACCGGAUAAUAUAUUGAACCGCAUGGUUCAAUAGUGAAAGACGGUUUUGCUGUCACUUAUAGAUGGAUCCGCGCCGCAUUAGCUAGUUGGUAAGGUAACGGCUUACCAAGGCAACGAUGCGUAGCCGACCUGAGAGGGUCGCCGGCCCACCCUGCAACUGACACAGGGCCCGCCCCCCUCCGGGGGCCGACGUUAGGAUUUUUUCCUAAGGGGGCGAAGCCCGGACGGCCCACCCCCGCGUGAGUAAGAAGGGUCUUCGUAUCUAAAACCUUUUUUAUGAGGAAAAAAAAAUUUUGUAAGUAAUUUUGCACUUCUGCCGGUCCCCUAAUAGGAAGCCCAGCCCUACCCCCGGC
This 498-nucleotide ribosomal RNA is filed under the name uncultured bacterium. Its description in RNAcentral is "partial 16S ribosomal RNA". It matches the Rfam family "Bacterial small subunit ribosomal RNA", at positions 28 to 508 of the family's 1533-position model. The record is from RNAcentral.